UCAUAGGCUCGCUGACUAUUGGCUCAGCUACCAUUUGACUGAAGAGGAGCCUGGUGAUGAAAAGGAACACAGAGAGAAACAUGAGGUAAACUGAGAGUGGAAGCUGGGAACAAUGGAGUAAAUGCUACAGAAUGGGGCAGCCAGGAUCUGUGGUGUGCUUGUCCCAGAACAAAGGCCAAAGGCAAAAGAGAAAAGCUGUCAACGGUUGCAUCCCUGGGGAGAGAUGUUUAACGCAUUCCUGGGCUGCUGACGAAUGUCCUUCCUGUUCUGGAGAAGCAACGGAGGCGGAGGCGUGCCCAGGACCUCAGUUCUGGGGCUUUUGCUCCCUGGUAUGAAGGAAGGGAGAUGGUUGCCCAACCGCCAUCCCUGGAGACUCUACUACAGAAGAGGGGGUUUUGAAAGCGCCAGCUUUCCCUCCUGGAUUUUCCAGCAGCACUAUGACAGUAACUCCACUGUCACCUGCUUCCAAGUGGCUCACAUUAUACAUGGUUGUGAGCCACCAUGUGGUUUCUGGGAAUUGAACUCAAGUCCUCUGGACGAUCAGUCAGUACUCUAAACCUCUGAGCCAUCUCUCCAGCCCAAGUGGCUCAUUCCUAAACCACAGAACCUCUCCAUCACUAGGCUCUUCCACAAGAUACUCUUCCUUAGAGGAACAAGCUACAAAUUCCCAAGUGGAUUGUAAAUGAGAUUCUUCUUCAUCUCCUGCAAGACUGUUCAUGAUCCUUGCAAAAUCCUCACACAGGACCGGAUGGGAAAGGAGUCGAAGCCUCUGAUUUGCUCCAAUGGUAGUAAUGGCUGGAUAUGGGAGUUGGAGAAGAGUCAUCAUUGUCUGCUGUGUGUUUGGAUGGGAGCCUAGCAAAUACCUGGGAGUUGGGAGAGCUCUAGGCUGCCUCUGUUUGGAGUUGCAGGUGGAUGUCUACAUGUCUCUAUCUGGCCCCCCAGGCUAUUCAUCACCAUGCCAACUGACACUGUGUGCGGGCCAGUGCAUUGGCAACUUGGGCUUGAGGAUGUGGGAGCAAAUGAGAAGCACUUGCCCCCAAACCCCACGGAUAGAGACAUGAGCUGGGCUGCUGGGAAUGGAGAAGUGGAGCCAGAAAGAUUUGGAGUAGGCAAAGUUGGAGUACCUGGCAGUGCUCAACUCUUUCUAGAGCAGGCUGAGCCUGCAACUCUCACUCAUGACUCUCCAAAACUGUCCUAUGAUGGGCAAGUCAAGAUGUUGGAGCUGCCCUGGGCUUCCUGUGACUGGAAGACCCAAAGCCAGAAAAGAGAGGGGAGUAGUAAGAUAACACCUGACUUAAGGCCAUGAAGCCAGGAUAUGGAGAGG
This 1324-nucleotide long non-coding RNA is filed under the name Cricetulus griseus (Chinese hamster). Its description in RNAcentral is "lncRNA (ENSCGRG00015029739.1)". The record is from RNAcentral. Lineage: Eukaryota; Metazoa; Chordata; Mammalia; Rodentia; Cricetidae.